RNAcentral lists this ribosomal RNA (429 nucleotides) under Fusobacteriota bacterium. Its description in RNAcentral is "Fusobacteria bacterium partial 16S ribosomal RNA". It matches the Rfam family "Bacterial small subunit ribosomal RNA", at positions 355 to 776 of the family's 1533-position model. Lineage: Bacteria; Fusobacteriati; Fusobacteriota. The record is from RNAcentral.
UGGGGAAUAUUGCGCAAUGGGCGAAAGCCUGACGCAGCGACGCCGCGUGCGGGAUGAAGGUUCUCUGAUCGUAAACCUCUUUCAGAAGGGAAGAAACCGCACUGUGCUAAUCAGCAGUGCCUUGACGGUACCUUCAAAGGAAGCACCGGCUAACUCCGUGCCAGCAGCCGCGGUAAUACGGAGGGUGCAAGCGUUAAUCGGAAUUACUGGGCGUAAAGCGCACGUAGGCUGCUUUGUAAGUCAGGGGUGAAAUCCCACGGCUCAACCGUGGAACUGCCUGUGAUACUGAUUAGCUUGAAGCCGGGAGAGGGUGGCGGAAUUCCAGGUGUAGAGGUGAAAUCCGUAGAUAUCUGGAGGAACAUCAGUGGCGAAGGCGGCCACCUGGACCGGUAUUGACGCUGAGGUGCGAAAGCGUGGGGAGCAAACAGG